Molecule: ribosomal RNA, 765 nt
Filed under: uncultured bacterium
Lineage: Bacteria
Description: bacterial SSU rRNA
Rfam family: Bacterial small subunit ribosomal RNA
Source: RNAcentral
ACUGGGUGGCGACCGGCAAACGGGUGCGGAACACGUACGCAACCUUCCUUCAAGCGGGGAAUAGCCCAGAGAAAUUUGGAUUAAUACCCCAUAGGAAUGUAGUCUCGCAUGAGACAGCAUUUAAAGAUUUAUCACUUGAAGAUGGGCGUGCGUCUGAUUAGGUAGUUGGUGAGGUAACGGCUCACCAAGCCGACGAUCAGUAACUGGCGUGAGAGCGCGACCAGUCACACGGGCACUGAGACACGGGCCCGACUCCUACGGGAGGCAGCAGUAAGGAAUAUUGGUCAAUGGACGCAAGUCUGAACCAGCCAUGCCGCGUGGAGGAUGAAUGCCCUCUGGGUUGUAAACUUCUUUUAUCUGGGACGAAACACUUCUUAUCUAAGGAGCUUGACGGUACCAGAUGAAUAAGCACCGGCUAACUCCGUGCCAGCAGCCGCGGUAAUACGGAGGGUGCAAGCGUUAUCCGGAUUCACUGGGUUUAAAGGGUGCGUAGGCGGAUAUGUAAGUCUGUGGUGAAAUCUCUGAGCUUAACUCAGAAACUGCCGUGGAUACUAUAUGUCUUGAAUGUUGUGGAGGUUAGCGGAAUAUGUCAUGUAGCGGUGAAAUGCUUAGAUAUGACAUAGAACACCGAUUGCGAAGGCAGCUGGCUACACAACUAUUGACGCUGAGGCACGAAAGCGUGGGGAUCAAACAGGAUUAGAUACCCUGGUAGUCCACGCCCUAAACGAUGGAUACUCGACAUUUGCGAUAUAUUGUAAGUGUCUG